This 233-nucleotide non-coding RNA is filed under the name Lactobacillus sp. Its description in RNAcentral is "T-box sequence". It matches the Rfam family "T-box leader". From Rfam's summary of the family: Uncharged tRNA acts as the effector for transcription antitermination of genes in the T-box leader family. T-boxes are found upstream of many aminoacyl-tRNA synthetase genes and some amino acid biosynthetic genes usually in Gram-positive bacteria. The anticodon of a specific tRNA base pairs to a specifier sequence within the T-box motif, and the NCCA acceptor tail of the tRNA base pairs to a conserved bulge in the T-box antiterminator hairpin. Lineage: Bacteria; Bacillati; Bacillota; Bacilli; Lactobacillales; Lactobacillaceae. The record is from RNAcentral.
AAUUAAGCAAUGACAAGGAAAGUAAAUCGUAGUAUUGCCUGCAGAGAGUUUCCAAUAUGGUGAAAGGAAAUGACAAGCCUACCUUUGAAAAUGGCCUUCGAGCAUGAAUUUGCGAUAUUUAGCAAGUUCAGGGUCCGCCCUCUACCGCGGUAGUGUAUCGCCCAUGUGGCCGUACAUGAACCAAGGUGGAAUCUCCAUAAAGAUAGGUGGUACCGCGUUUAAACGCCCUAUUA